AACGAACGCUGGCGGCAGGCUUAACACAUGCAAGUCGAACGCAUCCUUCGGGGUGAGUGGCAGACGGGUGAGUAACGCGUGGGAACGUGCCCUUCAGUUCGGGAUAACCCAGGGAAACUUGGGCUAAUACCGGAUACGUGCGAGAGCAGAAAGAUUUAUCGCUGAAGGAUCGGCCCGCGUCUGAGUAGCUAGUUGGUGGGGUAAUGGCCCACCAAGGCGACGAUCAGUAGCUGGUCCGAGAGGAUGAUCAGCCACAUUGGGACUGAGACACGGCCCAAACUCCUACGGGAGGCAGCAGUGGGGAAUAUUGGACAAUGGGCGCAAGCCUGAUCCAGCCAUGCCGCGUGAGUGAUGAAGGCCUUAGGGUUGUAAAGCUCUUUCGUCCGGGACGAUAAUGACGGUACCGGAAGAAGAAGCCCCGGCUAACUUCGUGCCAGCAGCCGCAGUAA
RNAcentral lists this ribosomal RNA (449 nucleotides) under uncultured bacterium. RNAcentral describes it as "partial 16S ribosomal RNA". It matches the Rfam family "Bacterial small subunit ribosomal RNA", at positions 29 to 523 of the family's 1533-position model. The record is from RNAcentral.